GCCCUUACAGCUUCAUUAAAAUCCUCUACCAUUGUAUUGGGCAGCUUGUUCCAGAGCCUUACUGACUAUUACAAAGGUGAAAAUUUAAAAAAUUUAUCACAAGCAAACCAUACACAUCAACCAGUAUGUCAGUAUAUGUCUGCACUCGCAAGAAAUUGUAAUGGUAGGUGGAGAAGUUAGCUGAGCAGACUUGGCAUGCUAUUGCCAAGUUGUUGGCAAUAGCCAAGUAGUUGGCAUGUUUAUAUACCAAGAGAUCAAAAGAAGAGAGGAAGGGAAAACAUGCACAUGCAUCCACUCGCACACAAACGAAGGAAGGGCAAGCAGUGAGUACUACGAAAUGAACAAAUUCGAAGUUGAAUCUGUACGCCACUGUCAAUAAACAAAAUGUUACCCAUCUCUGAACAGGGCUGAAGAAACAGAGGGCUGAAGGCAAGCUCCUGAUCUAGCCACACACCCGCAUUCCCUAGUACUCCGCAACCCGUACUGCAGUUUUUCUCUACCAGAUGACAGUGAGCCCUAGACGUGAUCCACGCACCUACUCAACAAGGCAGAACGGAUUUCAGUUUAGCAUUCUCUUUUUGAAAAUGCCACCUUGACUGCUGCAGACUUUUCAUCUCCUUUCUUUGCUUUUGCUGCUUAGAAGCAAGUCUUGCUGCACGAGCUUGCAAGGAAGCCUUCUCAGGGGUGUCG
Long non-coding RNA from Dermacentor andersoni, 690 nucleotides. RefSeq lists it as uncharacterized. Lineage: Eukaryota; Metazoa; Arthropoda; Arachnida; Ixodida; Ixodidae. The record is from RefSeq and is a predicted model, not a curated record.